Molecule: ribosomal RNA, 470 nt
Filed under: uncultured bacterium
Lineage: Bacteria
Description: partial 16S ribosomal RNA
Rfam family: Bacterial small subunit ribosomal RNA
Source: RNAcentral
GACGAACGCUGGCGGCGUGCUUAACACAUGCAAGUCGAACGGUGAACGAGGGAGCUUGCUCCCUCCGGAUCAGUGGCGAACGGGUGAGUAACACGUGAGCAAUCUGCCCCGAACUCUGGGAUAAGCGUUGGAAACGACGUCUAAUACCGGAUACGACGCGGGAGGGCAUCCUCUCCGCGUGGAAAGAACUUCGGUUCGGGAUGAGCUCGCGGCCUAUCAGCUUGUUGGUGAGGUAACGGCUCACCAAGGCGACGACGGGUAGCCGGCCUGAGAGGGUGGACAGCGACACUAGGACUGAGGGACGGCGCAGAGGCGAACGGUGGGCAGCGGUGGAAAGUAUGGCACAGUGAGGGCGAGCGUGAGGCAGCGGCGCCGCGGUAGGGACGACGGCCUGCGGGUUGUGAAACGCUUUUGGCAAAGAAGAAGCGAAAGUGACGGUACCGGCAGAAAAAGCACCGGCUAACUACGUG